This 226-nucleotide unclassified non-coding RNA is filed under the name Hevea brasiliensis (rubber tree). Lineage: Eukaryota; Viridiplantae; Streptophyta; Magnoliopsida; Malpighiales; Euphorbiaceae. The record is from RNAcentral.
UGUACUAUGAAAUUUCAAACUCUAUGAAUACAUAUUGAGAAUGUAUAUGAAUAUAUUUUUCUCCUUCAUAUAAGGUUUGCAAAGAUGUAGUGUCUUUUAGACAUAUCUUGGUCGUUUCCUGUUGAUUAUCAAGCUGCAGCUGCAGAGGAUAUUUCACCCUGCUUGUGCUUCAUCUACCUUUUGCAUUUAGCUAAUGAGUAUGGUGUUAUGACUAAGUAGUUAGUGA